RNAcentral lists this long non-coding RNA (896 nucleotides) under Brachypodium distachyon (stiff brome). Its description in RNAcentral is "long non-coding RNA (BDIS_LNC001803)". Lineage: Eukaryota; Viridiplantae; Streptophyta; Magnoliopsida; Poales; Poaceae. The record is from RNAcentral.
AGGGAGUAGAAGAAAAAAUUAGAAGGUCGAGAAGAGAUAUGGCAACGAGCUCAGUGAUAUAACUUGCCAGCUAUACUUUUGCCGUUUUGAGUUUGUGAUCGCUCCUGAUCGAUUGGACACUAGUACAAAACAUGCCAUUAGUGGCAGGCAAAAACUGCUAUCAGCGUCGUUCGCAGCACACGCCGCUAACUACUGGCCACUGAUGGGUUUCCCAUCAGUGUCGUGUGCAAAACCCGCCGUAGAUAGGUCAUCCCUCAGUGGUGGUCACAGGCACAUAGCAUCUUCGUCAAUUAAAAAUAAAAGCAGGCCACAUGCCUGCAUGGAUGAAUCAACGAAUCAAAAAAUCGAUGAAUUAAUCAAAAAAAUUGAUGAAUUAAUCAACGAAUCACAGACAACAAAUUACAAGACAAGCAUAUCACAAAUCGCUGCCUAGCCACACCGUACAGCCCGGAGGCUUUGUUGAAUCUCAAAUCAUAAACAAAAUACAAACUAAACUUGAUGAAUAUAUAUCCAGUCCAUUUAAGAUCUCCCUUCUCUUUUCCAAGUCAAGGACCUACACAGUUCAAAGAGAUUGAAGUAAUCAUAAGCAUACAAAUCACAAGAGAUUGAAAAUCACAAGCUUCACAAGAGAUUGAAAUAAUCAUAAAGGAUUGAAUAAGAGAUUGAAGUAACAACAGAAGAGAGGGAGGGACAUCGGGACCUGUCUUGGAAGAAAACGAGGCCUACCAUGUCCAACUUCAACAGCAGCAGUGGGAGCUGCCCUCCACCGUCGCUGUCAGCCAAGGUCGAGCGCACCGCCCAGCGCACGGAUCUGGUGGAAACAAGGGCGGAUCCGCCGAUUUGGUGGAGGGUGGCCAGAUCCAGCUGUUUUCGGCGACGGCGGGCCCCAAGGUGGC